This is a long non-coding RNA of Triticum aestivum (bread wheat), 892 nucleotides long. RefSeq lists it as uncharacterized. The transcript is spliced from 3 exons. The record is from RefSeq and is a predicted model, not a curated record. Lineage: Eukaryota; Viridiplantae; Streptophyta; Magnoliopsida; Poales; Poaceae.
GCUUCAAGUGAGGGGAUGGAGGGAGGAGAGGCGCCUGGCUAGGUCAAAUGCGACCGAGCACCCCAGCUAGGGGCUGGCCGACGGCGACGUGCGCCGCCGCGAUGCCCUGCGAGCUCUUCGGAAUCUUCGAUGAACUUCAGUAGAGAGAAGCAGCAGACAGCUCAUUGACAAAGAAAUGACAUGCACACUUUUAUCUUGAUAACUUGAGUGGAGAGAAGCAGCGAACAGCUCAUUGACAAAAUAUGGGCCCCUUUAUCUUGGUCAGUGAGAAUCACAACUCUAUACCCUAGUAAUUUUUCUGAGCACAUGUGACUAGCUUGUUUCCACAUUUGCUCCUUUUGUUUUGUCAGAACCUAUCAAUCUCUGUGUGGCUUAUCUUGUACUAGUUCAGUUUUUAAUCUGAAUUGUCGCACUGUGUGCUUUCUUAGAUUCCAGGCUUUACCUGACAUUGAUCUCCACAAUGGUAAAAAUGGGAAAGCAAAUACUAUGAUCCAACUUGGUUUUGUUAUUAAAAAAACUAAAGGCAGUCUUCCUACAAGAAAUAGUUUGUACCCCCUGUAUAUUUGCUCCAUGUGCUGAGCACGGUCAGAACAGUUAGUAAAGCAUGAGGCAGUCUAAAGUUUAUGAAAAAAAUGCUUCAUCAUUGAGGCCCAAAAUCGAACAGGAAGGCCUCAAGGAGGACCGAGCGGCCCAAAAUGAAUUCUCUGCCAAAGAUUAGCUGGGGCUAUAUACUUCUGCAGCAGUCAUAUUAGGCACUUGGCAGUUAGUUCAGCUAAGACUAGCGGCUUAAACUGGGCUUAAACAGCAACUUAGAGACAACAAGGAAAUGGUAAAUGACAAGUAGAAUCAUGUCGUUGGAUACACUUGAUCACUCCUGAACCAUCGGUGAACC